This 1041-nucleotide ribosomal RNA is filed under the name uncultured bacterium. RNAcentral describes it as "bacterial SSU rRNA". It matches the Rfam family "Bacterial small subunit ribosomal RNA", at positions 12 to 1047 of the family's 1533-position model. The record is from RNAcentral.
UUUGAUCCUGGCUCAGAUUGAACGCUGGCGGCAUGCCUUACACAUGCAAGUCGAACGGCAGCACGGAGCUUGCUCUGGUGGCGAGUGGCGAACGGGUGAGUAAUAUAUCGGAACGUACCCUGGAGUGGGGGAUAACGUAGCGAAAGUUACGCUAAUACCGCAUACGAUCUAAGGAUGAAAGUGGGGGAUCGCAAGACCUCAUGCUCCUGGAGCGGCCGAUAUCUGAUUAGCUAGUUGGUAGGGUAAAAGCCUACCAAGGCAUCGAUCAGUAGCUGGUCUGAGAGGACGACCAGCCACACUGGAACUGAGACACGGUCCAGACUCCUACGGGAGGCAGCAGUGGGGAAUUUUGGACAAUGGGCGAAAGCCUGAUCCAGCAAUGCCGCGUGAGUGAAGAAGGCCUUCGGGUUGUAAAGCUCUUUUGUCAGGGAAGAAACGGUGAGAGCUAAUAUCUCUUGCUAAUGACGGUACCUGAAGAAUAAGCACCGGCUAANUACGUGCCAGCAGCCGCGGUAAUACGUAGGGUGCAAGCGUUAAUCGGAAUUACUGGGCGUAAAGCGUGCGCAGGCGGUUUUGUAAGUCUGAUGUGAAAUCCCCGGGCUCAACCUGGGAAUUGCAUUGGAGACUGCAAGGCUAGAAUCUGGCAGAGGGGGGUAGAAUUCCACGUGUAGCAGUGAAAUGCGUAGAUAUGUGGAGGAACACCGAUGGCGAAGGCAGCCCCCUGGGUCAAGAUUGACGCUCAUGCACGAAAGCGUGGGGAGCAAACAGGAUUAGAUACCCUGGUAGUCCACGCCCUAAACGAUGUCUACUAGUUGUCGGGUCUUAAUUGACUUGGUAACGCAGCUAACGCGUGAAGUAGACCGCCUGGGGAGUACGGUCGCAAGAUUAAAACUCAAAGGAAUUGACGGGGACCCGCACAAGCGGUGGAUGUAGUGGAUUAAUUCGAUGCAACGCGAAAAACCUUACCUACCCUUGACAUGGCUGGAAUCCUUGAGAGAUCAGGGAGUGCUCGAAAGAGAACCAGUACACAGGUGUUGCAUG